AUCUAGGUGACGAGCCCCAAAUAGGACGAAACGUGAGUCCUGGAU
This 45-nucleotide non-coding RNA is filed under the name Schistosoma mansoni. Lineage: Eukaryota; Metazoa; Platyhelminthes; Trematoda; Strigeidida; Schistosomatidae. The record is from RNAcentral.